RNAcentral lists this long non-coding RNA (1129 nucleotides) under Bos taurus (domestic cattle). Its description in RNAcentral is "long non-coding RNA NONBTAT011971". The record is from RNAcentral. Lineage: Eukaryota; Metazoa; Chordata; Mammalia; Artiodactyla; Bovidae.
CAUUUUGGUUUAUGGGAUAUUCAAAUCAAAGAGAUGCCAGGAGACAGCGUCAGUCUAGCACUUUCAUUCUUGUAGAAUAUGAUUGUUUUUCCCAUUCACAUUAAUCCCAUCUUUUUAAAAUGUUGUGAUAUAAAGUGGAAAUAUUUGAUUUCUCAGAAUCUCAGUUACAGAGCUGAGGGCAGCUUUGGAAUCGUCGAAUCCUCGUGUUGCUUAGAUGAGAAAGCAGGCGAUGUGACUUGCUGCGAAGCCCACAGAAGGCAGCCCAGGUUCUCGAAUUGGCAGUCCCAACGUCCAGGCUGUGGCUUUUCUCUACUUUUUCUUGCACUGACUUCUUAAAGACACUCAGAGGCCACGAUAACCAGUCAUAAGAAACAAAAGGGGAAAAAAUUCCUUUUCCCCAGUGAGAUACAAUGAAUAAGAAAAAUCUUAUCUGACGAAGUCAGUGACUUCGUAAUUUCAAUGAGUGAAUUUCAUGUUCCAUGUUUUGUAUUUUCGUUGUCCUUGUACCAUUGGAUUUGGAAUCUACUUAAUGUUAUUUUGGUAGCCAGGAAUUGUGGUGACAUUUUGUGUAGGCCUUCCUAGAUUUUCAUAAUAAUCGGAUUAGAAUAUAAAUAGGCAUACUUGAGACAUGACUGUAAUGAAGCAGAAUGAGACCUAAUAUGAUUCGGAAAGGGCUUGCGGUGGAAGGGAAUGCUCACUCAGUGUUUGUGAGAUGCAGUUCUGUCAAUGACUGAAGGCUGACCUGUGCUUCGUGUUUUUAUACAGACUUGUUUACAGUCCAUGGCUUUUUUUUAGAAGGGAAAAUCUAAAACAUAAUUAAGCUUUGGAAACAACAAAAUUCUUUGGUGCGUCAGGCUCACUGUCUGGUGGAUGUCUCUCUUUUCUCCAGAGUUAUGUACUUCAUACCUCUCCUGCUGGUGAGAUCAGUCAGUCUUCCCUUCUUGGCUCACCUGCAUUUUUAUCUUCCUGUAGGAAAGGAAUUUCUUACAGUAAGUACUCUAAUAUAAAGAAACUAAAGACUUGGAGACGUAGUUGCCUUCUAGCUUAAGAAGUAAGUUCGUGUUGUAGAACUGUGUCUUUUAAAAGGUUCAACAAAUUUAAAGAAUAAGAUUUAUGAACCUUGUCCAAC